This 550-nucleotide ribosomal RNA is filed under the name uncultured bacterium. Its description in RNAcentral is "bacterial SSU rRNA". It matches the Rfam family "Bacterial small subunit ribosomal RNA", at positions 355 to 896 of the family's 1533-position model. The record is from RNAcentral.
UAGGGAAUCUUCGGCAAUGGACGGAAGUCUGACCGAGCAACGCCGCGUGAGUGAAGAAGGUUUUCGGAUCGUAAAGCUCUGUUGUAAGAGAAGAACGAGUGUGAGAGUGGAAAGUUCACACUGUGACGGUAUCUUACCAGAAAGGGACGGCUAACUACGUGCCAGCAGCCGCGGUAAUACAUAGGUCCCGAGCGUUGUCCGGAUUUAUUGGGCGUAAAGCGAGCGCAGGCGGUUAGAUAAGUCUGAAGUUAAAGGCUGUGGCUUAACCAUAGUACGCUUUGGAAACUGUUUAACUUGAGUGCAAGAGGGGAGAGUGGAAUUCCAUGUGUAGCGGUGAAAUGCGUAGAUAUAUGGAGGAACACCGGUGGCGAAAGCGGCUCUCUGGCUUGUAACUGACGCUGAGGCUCGAAAGCGUGGGGAGCAAACAGGAUUAGAUACCCUGGUAGUCCACGCCGUAAACGAUGAGUGCUAGGUGUUAGACCCUUUCCGGGGUUUAGUGCCGCAGCUAACGCAUUAAGCACUCCGCCUGGGGAGUACNACCGCAAGGUUG